This is a long non-coding RNA of Suricata suricatta (meerkat), 654 nucleotides long. RefSeq lists it as uncharacterized. The transcript has 2 exons. Lineage: Eukaryota; Metazoa; Chordata; Mammalia; Carnivora; Herpestidae. The record is from RefSeq and is a predicted model, not a curated record.
CUGAAAAGAAACUCUGUGCCCAGUGAGCAAUGACUUGCCACCACCUUCCUCCCAGCCUCUGGCCAACGGUAGGAUGUGAAAGUCAUGGGAAAUGUGACGUGAAAGUACACUGCUCCACAUAAAGUCUUGAUGGCACUACGUAAAAAGAAAGGACCCUAUCCAUUGGGAACGAUGGUUUUCCAGGACCCAGGCCCAGUGACUGAGCCCGCACAGUCUCCUCCUGGGUCACUGCAGCAGAGAAGCACAGUUUGCUGGCGCGGGGAAGAAGGCCACCUGAGAGCUGGCGCCUUCGGAGCAGCACCGAUGCAGGACUGUCCCCAGCGAGUCAGCGCCGGCAGUGGCUUCAACACUCAGCCCCACUCACCUGCUACUUCCAUCGGCAGCUGAGAAGGGGUGGGUGGCUGCGUGCACAGUUUAAUAAGGUGGGUCACCCAACUCUGAAGUGACCACACAGGUGUCAGGGGCACAUAUGCCUGCGAGGGAUGUUUUGUUUUGGCUGCCUUUCUCUCUGUUCCCCAGGACUGUUUUGUUUAUGCACUGCAUUUCUUUCUGGAACUUCUCACAUGUUGCAGUGGGUCUGCAAGGAAUGUAUGUAUCACGUGUGCAGUGAUGUGAGUUACAACCCACCUAAAGAGAUUAAACCACAUCUUGUUA